CUUUCCUCUGGAUAUUCCUGGAACAGCAUAUCACAAAUGUUUACAGGUAGUUAACCUGGUCAUUCCAGUUCAAAAUAACAAGGUUAAAAAAAAUCCAAUCUUUUGUGUAUUGAUUCUUGAAUGUUUUACUUUUUCAGGGAAGGAAAAAUGCAAUGAAAAUGCUAAAGAACCUGCUAAAUGAAAGACGGGCAAUGCAAGGGAAGAGCCGAAAUGACUUUUUUGAUUUUGUCCUUGAAGAACUUCAGAAAGAGGGAACAAUUCUAACAGAGGCAAUUGCUCUGGAUUUGAUGUUCGUUCUACUAUUUGCUAGCUUUGAAACAACUUCCCUGGCUCUAACUUUAGCAAUUAAAUUCCUUUCUGACGACCCUUCAGUGCUGAAAAAACUAAGGGUAUGUGAAAUGAUUCCUGAAUCUGCAAAAUCCGAAUCCUUUUCUAAACAAACAUGGAACUUAUGUAUUUCCACUUUGUAGGAAGAGCAUGAAGCAAUUCUACGAAACAGGGAAGACACAGACUCUGGACUUACAUGGAAAGAAUAUAAAUCAAUGACAUAUACAUUCCAGGUGAGAAAAUUUGUGAUUUAAACUUAUAAGGACAUAUUAUCAGUUGUGAAAGGUUGUUUGUUUCCAUACUGACAAGUGCAACUUACAGUUCAUCAAUGAAACAGUUAGACUAGCAAAUAUAGUGCCGGGAAUCUUCAGGAAAGCACUAAGAGAAAUCCAAUUCAAAGGUAUUAUGCAUCAAAAAUAUUUUGAGACCCACUUUCAAAUUGUUAUAUUAAAAAAAAAUUAUCUUUGCAAUAAAUAUGAAAGCUAACACACAUCAAUUUUCAUGAUAAUGCAGGAUAUACCAUUCCAGCUGGUUGGGCAGUAAUGGU
This 874-nucleotide long non-coding RNA is filed under the name Gossypium barbadense (sea-island cotton). Its description in RNAcentral is "long non-coding RNA (GBAR_LNC001890)". Lineage: Eukaryota; Viridiplantae; Streptophyta; Magnoliopsida; Malvales; Malvaceae. The record is from RNAcentral.